Molecule: non-coding RNA, 69 nt
Organism: Triticum urartu
Lineage: Eukaryota; Viridiplantae; Streptophyta; Magnoliopsida; Poales; Poaceae
Source: Rfam
CCACUUCUCGGUUGAUAAAGCACAAGGCUCUUAACCUUGUGGGCGUGGGUUCAAGCCCCAUGAUGGGGG